ACACGCAUGACACACUGCAUAUCAAUAAGCGGAGGAAAAGAAACUAACAAGGAUUCCCUUAGUAACGGCGAGUGAAUGCGGGAAGAGCUCAAAUUUGAAAUCUUCAAGGUUUUACCUUGACGAAUUGUAGUUUAAAGAAGUGUUUUCUGUUGAAGUUUUGGUAAAAGUUCUUUGGAAUAGGACAUCAUAGAGGGUGAGAAUCCCGUAUUUGACCAUUAUUUUCAGCUGUGUGAUACACUUUCAAAGAGUCGGAUUGUUUGGGAAUGCAGUCCAAAAUGGGUGGUAAAUUUCAUCUAAAGCUAAAUAUUGGCGAGAGACCGACUAGCGAACAAGUACCGUGAGGGAAAGAUGAAAAGAACUUUGAAAAGAGAGUUAAACAGUACGUGAAAUUGUCAAAAGGGAAGCGUUUGACACCAGUGUUGUUUUCUCGAAAAUCAAUUAAAAAUGAUGGGAUUUUGUGUUGUAUUGACUUUAUCAGCUUUCUGCAGCUUUUUUCUUAUCUUUUUUAAUGCACUUUUCGUUUAACAAGUCAACAUCAAUUUCUUUUGUUGUAAAAGAGUCAUUGGAAGGUGGCUUUUUCUUCGGAAAAAGUGUUUAUAGCCUUUGGCUUCUGCAAUCGGAGAGAUCGAGGUCUGCAGCGUAGAUCCUUCGGGGUUAGAUACAUUUGUGCUAAGCUAUAGUUCUUUAUAGACAACUUGUUGACUAUAAUCAAUCCUGUAACUUACUCGCUUAUGCUAUUUACCUACGCUUAGGAUGUUGAGCGCAUGUCUCUCUCU
RNAcentral lists this ribosomal RNA (776 nucleotides) under uncultured Neocallimastigales. RNAcentral's name for it is "partial large subunit ribosomal RNA". The stretch from base 2 to 696 matches the Rfam family "Eukaryotic large subunit ribosomal RNA", at positions 24 to 664 of the family's 3401-position model. The record is from RNAcentral. Lineage: Eukaryota; Fungi; Neocallimastigomycota; Neocallimastigomycetes; Neocallimastigales.